This 271-nucleotide ribosomal RNA is filed under the name uncultured archaeon. Its description in RNAcentral is "partial 16S ribosomal RNA". It matches the Rfam family "Archaeal small subunit ribosomal RNA", at positions 477 to 747 of the family's 1478-position model. The record is from RNAcentral.
CAGCGCCACAAGUGGCAAUCGUUAUUAUUGGGCCUAAAGCGUCCGUAGCCGGUUUAGUAAGUCUUUUGUGAAAUUGUUGUGCUUAACACAACACUGUGCAAAAGAUACUGCUAGACUUGGAACUGGGAGGAGUUAGGGGUAUUCCAAGGGGAGCGGUAAAAUGCUAUAAUCCUUGGAGGACCACCGGUGGCGAAAGCGCCUAACUAGAACAGAUUCGACGGUGAGGGACGAAAGCCAGGGGAGCAAACCGGAUUAGAUACCCGAGUAGUCC